AGGCCUUGGCCGAAUGCAUAUAUU
RNAcentral lists this microRNA (24 nucleotides) under Caenorhabditis remanei. RNAcentral describes it as "crm-miR-235-5p". Its record names the gene crm-miR-235-5p. Lineage: Eukaryota; Metazoa; Nematoda; Chromadorea; Rhabditida; Rhabditidae. The record is from miRBase by way of RNAcentral.